AACGCACAUUGCGCCCACCAGUAUUCUGGUGGGCAUGCCUGUCUGAGCGUCAUUUCAACCCUCAUACCCCUAUGGGUGUGGUGUUGGGGAUCGACCGUUCGUCCUCUCGGGGGCGGGUCGUCCCCUAAAUCUAGUGGCGGACUCGUUGUAGCCUCCUCUGCGUAGUAGUAAUAUUUCGCACCGGAAAGCGACGAGCCCCUGCCGUAAAACCCCAACUUUCUAAGGUUGACCUCAGAUCAGGUAGGAAUACCCGCUGAACUUAA
This 263-nucleotide unclassified non-coding RNA is filed under the name uncultured fungus. Its description in RNAcentral is "sequence contains ITS2". The stretch from base 1 to 52 matches the Rfam family "5.8S ribosomal RNA", at positions 103 to 154 of the family's 154-position model. Lineage: Eukaryota; Fungi. The record is from RNAcentral.